RNAcentral lists this long non-coding RNA (1532 nucleotides) under Marmota monax (woodchuck). Lineage: Eukaryota; Metazoa; Chordata; Mammalia; Rodentia; Sciuridae. The record is from RNAcentral.
GUUUAACUGGGCACUGUGGUACAGGUCUGUAAUCCCAGUGACUUGGGAGGCUGAGUCAGGAAAAUUGCAAAUUUGUACCAGCCUGUGAAAUUUAGUAAGAACCUGUUUUAAAAUUUCAAAAUAAAUAAACAAAAGGGCUAGAGAUGUAGCUCAGAUGUAGAGAGCUUGACUAGUGUAUUGAAGCUCUGGAUUCAAUCCUAAUACUACCAAAAAAAGGUGUCGAACUCUUCCACAAGGGCAUUUUUAUCAUUUGUGCAUCAAUGGAGAUAGUCAUAUGACUUAUUAAUAUCUCUUCUUAAAUUUACUUAAGAGAGCCUAUAAAGCAAGUUGUAUGAGUUUCCUUAUAUUUCAAGCUUGCUUGUUUAGGAAAGGGCAUCAUUGAAAUAAAUUUGUUUCAGAAUUGUGAAAUAUCAAUCAAUGUAGUCUUUAUGCAACUUGACGUUUCCUUCCCAGUCUUGCUAUUUGAAAUGUGUAACCAUUUCACCAAGAAAAGUUGAAAUUUUAAAUUUAAGUUGCUCAUGGAAUUGUGGGUGGAUGGGAUCUCAGCAUCUAAUUGCUUGCCUUCAGAUGGGAAUCAUCAAUGGAUACUAAAGUGAAUGGGCAAAAUAUGAUCAGAAGUAGAUACUUAUUAAAGUUCAAGGGAAAACAGUGAUUUUACCCUGGGCAGAUAACACUUUAAGUGAUCCAAGUUAUCAGCAUUAAUAGGAUAAAUCAACAUAAUAUGCUACUGAGACAGACACAACAUUCCUUCUGUGAUGAACAUACAUCAAAAUGCAUAAUCUGAAUUUAAUCAUGAGGAAAUAUCAGAGAAAAUGAAAAUGAGGAACAGUCUGCAAAAUAACUGGGUAGUACUCUUCAAAGGAAUCAAGAUCAUGGAUGACAAAGACUGAAAAACUUCCAGAUUAAAGGAGACCAAGAUGGCAUGACAACUAAAUGGAAAAUGUGAUCCUGGAUAAAAAAUAGGACUUUAAUGGGACAAUUUGUGACAUUUGAAUAGAGUAUAUAGAUUAUAGUACUAAAUCAGUGUUUAUUAUUUUGACAAUUAUCUUCUUUAUUCAAGACAUUUACAUUUGGGAAAUUUUUGUAAAAGGAAAAUGGGAAUUCUUUACACUAUUUUUACAAAGUUUUUGUUAGUCAUAAAUUGAAAAUGAAAAGUUACAAGUAAAAACAAUGAAAGAUCUUUUUUUUUUUUUUUUUGAGGGAUUGAGCCCAUGGGUGCUUUAUCACUGAGCCACAUCCCCAGCCCUUUUGUAAUGUUUUAUGUUUAGACAGGGUCUUGCUGAGUUGUUUAGGGCCUUGCUAAGUUGCUGACUUUUGUCUCAAGCUUGCUAUCCUCCUGCCUCAGCCUCCUGAGCUGCUGGGAUUAUAGGUAUGCACCACUGGGCCCAGCUCUGGCAAAAGAUUUUUAUCCUUAUAAAAUAUAUCAUGAGUGAAAUGCUCGUUGUUUGGGGUUUGCUGGAAAAUAAUGUAAUUGGGAAGUAUGGGGGGAAGGUAUAAGUUAUGUAAGGUUGGCCAUAUGAUGAUGAUUUUUG